CCNAAUUGAUUGAUGGUGCUUGCACNUGAUUGNUUUNGGNYGCCAACGAGUGGCGGACGGGUGAGUAAYNCGUAGGURACCUGCCCAGAAGCGGGGGACAACAUUUGGAAACAGAUGCUAAUACCGCAUAAYARCGUUGUUCGCAUGAACAACGCUUAAAAGAUGGCUUCUCGCUAUCACUUCUGGAUGGACCUGCGGUGCAUUAGCUUGUUGGUGGGGUAACGGCCUACCAAGGCGAUGAUGCAUAGCCGAGUUGAGAGACUGAUCGGCCACAAUGGGACUGAGACACGGCCCAUACUCCUACGGGAGGCAGCAGUAGGGAAUCUUCCACAAUGGGCGCAAGCCUGAUGGAGCAACACCGCGUGAGUGAAGAAGGGUUUCGGCUCGUAAAGCUCUGUUGUUAAAGAAGAACACGUAUGAGAGUAACUGUUCAUACGUUGACGGUAUUUAACCAGAAAGUCACGGCUAACUACGUGCCAGCAGCCGCGGUAAUACGUAGGUGGCAAGCGUUAUCCGGAUUUAUUGGGCGUAAAGAGAGUGCAGGCGGUUUUCUAAGUCUGAUGUGAAAGCCUUCGGCUUAACCGGAGAAGUGCAUCGGAAACUGGAUAACUUGAGUGCAGAAGAGGGUAGUGGAACUCCAUGUGUAGCGGUGGAAUGCGUAGAUAUAUGGAAGAACACCAGUGGCGAAGGCGGCUACCUGGUCUGCAACUGACGCUGAGACUCGAAAGCAUGGGUAGCGAACAGGAUUAGAUACCCUGGUAGUCCAUGCCGUAAACGAUGAGUGCUAGGUGUUGGAGGGUUUCCGCCCUUCAGUGCCGGAGCUAACGCAUUAAGCACUCCGCCUGGGGAGUACGACCGCAAGGUUGAAACUCAAAGGAAUUGACGGGGGCCCGCACAAGCGGUGGAGCAUGUGGUUUAAUUCGAAGCUACGCGAAGAACCUUACCAGGUCUUGACAUCUUGCGCCAACCCUAGAGAUAGGGCGUUUCCUUCGGGAACGCAAUGACAGGUGGUGCAUGGUCGUCGUCAGCUCGUGUCGUGAGAUGUUGGGUUAAGUCCCGCAACGAGCGCAACCCUUGUUACUAGUUGCCAGCAUUAAGUUGGGCACUCUAGUGAGACUGCCGGUGACAAACCGGAGGAAGGUGGGGACGACGUCAGAUCAUCAUGCCCCUUAUGACCUGGGCUACACACGUGCUACAAUGGACGGUACAACGAGUCGCGAACUCGCGAGGGCAAGCAAAUCUCUUAAAACCGUUCUCAGUUCGGACUGCAGGCUGCAACUCGCCUGCACGAAGUCGGAAUCGCUAGUAAUCGCGGAUCAGCAUGCCGCGGUGAAUACGUUCCCGGGCCUUGUACACACNGCCCGUYNCNCNRNGAGAGUUUGUAACACCCAAAGUCGGURGGGU
This 1404-nucleotide ribosomal RNA is filed under the name Limosilactobacillus fermentum. RNAcentral describes it as "bacterial SSU rRNA". It matches the Rfam family "Bacterial small subunit ribosomal RNA", at positions 62 to 1436 of the family's 1533-position model. The record is from RNAcentral. Lineage: Bacteria; Bacillati; Bacillota; Bacilli; Lactobacillales; Lactobacillaceae.